GUUGUCUUGAUUUAUAGCUGACGAACAUACAUUUUCAGAAAUACUAGAGCAAAGAUGGUCCAUUUAGAGAUGCACUGGAAGAUUGUGCAAUAUCUUGAGAAAGUAAUCUUCAGAAGGUAUACUUGACUGGAUUCCGCACAAGGGAAUUCUCAUCUGGAGCAACAUCUGCUGAUUCUGAUAAAAAGCUGGUCUCGCAAACAUAAGCUGGGAUCCAGACUUUUUAGCCCUGUCAUCACACGUCUACAGCUCCAACGGAAAAUCCACCUCAAAUGUCCUAUUGAGAUAACGCACCAGAUCCCAUUAAUAUAUCAAUGUUUAGACAAAAACAAGCAAUGCCAUAUUAUGAAACUGACCAGUACAAUCACCAAAAAACAGCAGGAUAAUGAAAUGUUAGAAUAUACAACAUCAGCAAUCUUUCAGCUUCUUCUAGUUUACAGCAGAUUCUAGAGACUUCCACCUCAACAGUUCAGAUUCCAUCGAGAUUUUAUCUCCAGUUGUUAUGUUAGAUAGUAGUUUAGUUAGUUAGUUAGUUGUUAGAUGCUAGUUAUUUUAGUUAGCCACUCACACUUGUGUCUAUAAAUAUAAAACUUUGUAUACCUUUUAGUUCAUUGGAUAUUUUCCAGUCUUCAAUGUGAUUUCAUAUUGAAUUUAUCCUUUCUUCUUUUCACUCUCUAUGCUAGGGAGAUGAUUUCAAUCUUUUCUUCUUUUUACUGCUCUCUAGUUCUAUGCUGGGAGAAUUUAACAGAAACGCAUAGGAAGGACAGGUACAGGUAUUGUUGGCAAAAUUUAAUCCAAAAGUUUCGACAAUGGAAGCUGCAAAAAUGACCUAUUGCCGCACCAAUAUUCAGCCCAUGUGUUCCUGCUUAAAGGCCGAAAGGAUGUGGUUGUGGAUAAUAUUCACACAAAAUAUCCUGCACUUCGCACAUAAGCUUAUUGUUUGUUCAGAUUCAGACACCACGCAUAAGUAAAAAGUUUCUGGGAAAAGGGCACUUUAUUCUACAAAUCCUCCUUAAAAAUCUUUAAAACACUACAAAUUCAGUUGCGUCGGAGAUAUAGUCCGCCGGAGGUGUUGCCGCAGGAGAGGUCGGUUGAGGCCACAUGAGAAGUGAGGAGUAGGGAUUUGGUCGUCUCAAUUCA
RNAcentral lists this long non-coding RNA (1137 nucleotides) under Olea europaea subsp. europaea. Lineage: Eukaryota; Viridiplantae; Streptophyta; Magnoliopsida; Lamiales; Oleaceae. The record is from RNAcentral.